GCCAGACUCCUACGGGAGGCAGCAGUGAGGCCUCUUGGUCAAUGGGCUCGCGCCUGAACCCGCCCAGUCGCGUGCGGGCUGACGGCCCUCCGGGUUGUAACCCUCUUUUGUCGGGGCGCCCAUUCCGCCCCGUGUGGCGGAGUCGCGCGUACCCGAAGCCCCCGCAUUGGCUCCCUCUGUGCCAGCAGCCGCGGUAAUCCGGCGGAUGCGAGCGUUAGCCGGAUUUAUUGGGUUUAAAGGGGGCGGAGGCGGACGGGCAAGUCAGCGGGAAAAUUUCGGGGCUCAACCCCGUCGUGCCGUUGAAACUGACACCCUUGAGGGAGGGAGAAGUAAGCGGAAUGCGUGGGGGAGCGGUGAAAGGCAGAGAUAUCACGCAGAACGCCGAUUGAGAAGGCAGCUUACCGGCGCUCAACUGACGCUGAGGCACGAAAGGGCGGGUAUCGAACAGGAUUAGAUACCCGGGUA
This 465-nucleotide ribosomal RNA is filed under the name uncultured bacterium. RNAcentral's name for it is "bacterial SSU rRNA". It matches the Rfam family "Bacterial small subunit ribosomal RNA", at positions 330 to 792 of the family's 1533-position model. The record is from RNAcentral.